RNAcentral lists this non-coding RNA (43 nucleotides) under Schistosoma margrebowiei. The record is from RNAcentral. Lineage: Eukaryota; Metazoa; Platyhelminthes; Trematoda; Strigeidida; Schistosomatidae.
UUCUAACUGACGAGUCCCAAAUAGGACGAAACGCACCUUGGAU